AACGAACGCUGGCGGCAGGCUUAACACAUGCAAGUCGAGCGCCCCGCAAGGGGAGCGGCAGACGGGUGAGUAACGCGUGGGUAUCUACCGCACCCUACGGAAUAGCUCCGGGAAACUGGAAGUAAUACCGUAUACGCCCUCGGGGGGAAAGAUUUAUCGGGGCAUGAUGAGCCCGAGUUGGAUUAGCUAGUUGGUGGGGUAAAGGCCUACCAAGGCGACGAUCCAUAGCUGGUCUGAGAGGAUGAUCAGCCACAUUGGGACUGAGACACGGCCCAAACUCCUACGGGAGGCAGCAGUGGGGAAUAUUGGACAAUGGGCGCAAGCCUGAUCCAGCCAUGCCGCGUGAGUGAUGAAGGUCUUAGGAUUGUAAAGCUCUUUCACCGAUGAGGAUAAUGACGGUAGUCGGAGAAGAAGCCCCGGCUAACUUCGUGCCAGCCGCCGCCGUAA
Molecule: ribosomal RNA, 447 nt
Filed under: uncultured bacterium
Lineage: Bacteria
Description: partial 16S ribosomal RNA
Rfam family: Bacterial small subunit ribosomal RNA
Source: RNAcentral